GAUGAACGCUAGCGGCAGGCUUAAUACAUGCAAGUCGAGGGGCAGCACGGUUAGCAAUAACUGGUGGCGACCGGCGCACGGGUGCGUAACACGUAUACAAUCUACCUUAAACAGGGGGAUAGCCUUUCGAAAGAGAGAUUAAUACCCCGUAAUAAAUUGAACGGCAUCGUUUGAUUUUGAAAGCUCCGGCGGUUUGAGAUGAGUAUGCGUCUGAUUAGCUAGUUGGUGAGGUAACGGCUCACCAAGGCGACGAUCAGUAGGGGAUCUGAGAGGACUAACCCCCACACUGGUACUGAGACACGGACCAGACUCCUACGGGAGGCAGCAGUAAGGAAUAUUGGUCAAUGGAGGCAACUCUGAACCAGCCAUGCCGCGUGCAGGAUGACGGCCCUAUGGUUGAAACUGCUUUUAUACAAGAGAAAACCCUGGUACGUGUACCAGGUUGAUAGUAUUGUAAGAAUAAGCAUCGGCUAACUUCGUGCCAGCAGCCGCGGU
RNAcentral lists this ribosomal RNA (495 nucleotides) under uncultured bacterium. RNAcentral describes it as "bacterial SSU rRNA". It matches the Rfam family "Bacterial small subunit ribosomal RNA", at positions 28 to 521 of the family's 1533-position model. The record is from RNAcentral.